This 334-nucleotide ribosomal RNA is filed under the name uncultured Oscillospiraceae bacterium. RNAcentral describes it as "bacterial SSU rRNA". It matches the Rfam family "Bacterial small subunit ribosomal RNA", at positions 162 to 509 of the family's 1533-position model. The record is from RNAcentral. Lineage: Bacteria; Bacillati; Bacillota; Clostridia; Eubacteriales; Oscillospiraceae.
GCUAAUACCGCAUGACAUAUCGAGGCCGCAUGGCUUUGGUAUCAAAGGAGCAAUCCGCUGAGAGAUGGGCUCGCGUCCGAUUAGAUAGUUGGCGGGAUAACAGCCCACCAAGUCGACGAUCGGUAGCCGGACUGAGAGGUUGAUCGGCCACAUUGGGACUGAGACACGGCCCAGACUCCUACGGGAGGCAGCAGUGGGGGAUAUUGCACAAUGGGCGAAAGCCUGAUGCAGCGACGCCGCGUGAGGGAAGACGGUCUUCGGAUUGUAAACCUCUGUCUUCAGGGACGAAAGAAAUGACGGUACCUGAGGAGGAAGCCACGGCUAACUACGUGCC